UAGUGAGUUUGAUCCUGGCUCAGGAUGAACGCUGGCGGUCUGCUUAACACAUGCAAGUCGAACGGAGUAGCAAUACUUAGUGGCGGACGGGUGAGUAACGCGUGAGAAUCUGCCUUCAGGACGGAGACAACAGUGGGAAACGACUGCUAACCCCCGAUGUACCGCAAGGGAAAAUAUUUAUAGCCUGAAGAAGAGCUCGCGUCCGAUUAGCUAGUUGGAGAGGUAACAGCUCACCAAGGCGACGAUCGGUAGCUGGUCUGAGAGGACGAUCAGCCACACUGGGACUGAG
RNAcentral lists this ribosomal RNA (289 nucleotides) under uncultured bacterium. RNAcentral describes it as "partial 16S ribosomal RNA". It matches the Rfam family "Bacterial small subunit ribosomal RNA", at positions 1 to 323 of the family's 1533-position model. The record is from RNAcentral.